This 464-nucleotide ribosomal RNA is filed under the name uncultured bacterium. Its description in RNAcentral is "partial 16S ribosomal RNA". It matches the Rfam family "Bacterial small subunit ribosomal RNA", at positions 28 to 507 of the family's 1533-position model. The record is from RNAcentral.
GACGAACGCUGGCGGCGUGCUUAACACAUGCAGGUCGAACGGAAAGGCCCCUUUGGGGGUACUCGAGUGGCGAACGGGUGAGUAACACGUGAGUAACCUGCCCUUGACUUCGGGAUAACUUCAGGAAACUGGGGCUAAUACCGGAUAGGAAUCCUUGCUGCAUGGUGGGGGUUGGAAAGCUUCGGCGGUUUUGGAUGGACUCGCGGCUUAUCAGCUUGUUGGUGGGGUAGUGGCUUACCAAGGCUUUGACGGGUAGCCGGCCUGAGAGGGCGACCGGCCACAUUGGGACUGAGAUACGGCCCAGACUCCUACGGGAGGCAGCAGUGGGGAAUAUUGCACAAUGGGCGGAAGCCUGAUGCAGCAACGCCGCGUGCGGGAUGACGGCCUUCGGGUUGUAAACCGCUUUCAGCAGGGGCGAAGCUUUUGUGACGGUACCUGCAGAAGAAGCACCGGCUAACUACGUG